This 606-nucleotide long non-coding RNA is filed under the name Panax ginseng (ginseng). Its description in RNAcentral is "long non-coding RNA (PGIN_LNC019127)". Lineage: Eukaryota; Viridiplantae; Streptophyta; Magnoliopsida; Apiales; Araliaceae. The record is from RNAcentral.
CCUACUUUGCUAAUUUCUAACUUUUACACCUCAGAUCCAAUUGCAACCAAUUUUUAAUAUGUUAUACAUGAUAUGGCAAACUAUUUUUAAAAAAUGUUAGCCAUCCAAAAAAGACCUCACAAACCCAUUUUUCAUAGCCUUAAAACUGGCCUGCCAGUCAGUUUUCAAACCAAGUCUAAUUUUCACUUUUGUUUCAAAACAGUUUUCUAAUUCCAUUAAACUUACAAAAAUCAUUUAAUUUACUUAAUACAACAUAUAUGAGGAGUCCUUGUUCAUUACCUCACCUAAAUUACACUUUUUAAGCUUAAAAUGUCUAAGAAGCAAUUUAUCAAACAUGUUGUGUGCAUUAAAUUUUAGGACAGAUUUGACAAGCUUUUAUUUAUGUUUCAAGCCAUAAUCUCCUUCCUUAUUACUCCGCACAACAACAACAACUAAGCUCCUUACUUCUAAUUCAUAAGCAUCACAGCCACAACUCAUACUAUUUCGCAUAAAAAUUAACUAAUUUAUGAACUUUUGUAAAGCUUGCACUUACCUCUUGUUUUACUGAAAUUUUAAUCUCAAUGACAAUGUUUUAAUCGAAUCCUUAUGCCAAGUACAACUUUUAAU